RNAcentral lists this unclassified non-coding RNA (330 nucleotides) under soil metagenome. Its description in RNAcentral is "partial contains 5.8S ribosomal RNA, internal transcribed spacer 2, and large subunit ribosomal RNA". The stretch from base 1 to 121 matches the Rfam family "5.8S ribosomal RNA", at positions 35 to 154 of the family's 154-position model. The record is from RNAcentral.
GAUGAAGAACGCAGCGAAAUGCGAUAAGUAAUGCGAAUUGCAGAAUUUCCGUGAGUCAUCGAAUCUUUGAACGCACAUUGCGCCCCUUGGUAUCCCGAGGGGCAUGCCUGUUCGAGCGUCAUUUCACCACUCAAGCCUGGCUUGGUGUUGGGCGACGUCCCCUUUGGGGACGCGCCUCGAAACGCUCGGCGGCGUGGCACCGCCUUUAAGCGUAGCAGAAUCUUUCGCUUUGGAAGUCGGGGCCCCGUCUGCCGGAAGACCUACUCGCAAGGUUGACCUCGGAUCAGGCAGGGAUACCCGCUGAACUUAAGCAUAUCAAUAAGCGGAGGA